AGUGAACGCUGGCGGUAGGCCUAACACAUGCAAGUCGAACGGCAGCACAGUAAGAGCUUGCUCUUACGGGUGGCGAGUGGCGGACGGGUGAGGAAUACAUCGGAAUCUACUUUUUCGUGGGGGAUAACGUAGGGAAACUUACGCUAAUACCGCAUACGACCUACGGGUGAAAGCAGGGGAUCUUCGGACCUUGCGCGAUUGAAUGAGCCGAUGUCGGAUUAGCUAGUUGGCGGGGUAAAGGCCCACCAAGGCGACGAUCCGUAGCUGGUCUGAGAGGAUGAUUAGCCACCAUGGAACUUAGACCAGGUCCAGACUCCUACGGGAAGCAGCCGUGGGGAAUAUUGGACAAUGGGCGCAAGCCUGAUCCAGCCAUACCGCGUGGGUGAAGAAGGCCUUCGGGUUGUAAAGCCCUUUUGUUGGGAAAGAAAAGCAGCAGGUUAAUACCCCGCUGUUCUGACGGUACCCAAAGAAUAAGCACCGGCUAACUUCGUG
Molecule: ribosomal RNA, 492 nt
Filed under: uncultured bacterium
Lineage: Bacteria
Description: partial 16S ribosomal RNA
Rfam family: Bacterial small subunit ribosomal RNA
Source: RNAcentral